RNAcentral lists this ribosomal RNA (324 nucleotides) under uncultured eukaryote. Its description in RNAcentral is "partial 18S ribosomal RNA". It matches the Rfam family "Eukaryotic small subunit ribosomal RNA", at positions 1470 to 1796 of the family's 1831-position model. The record is from RNAcentral.
CCCUUAGAUGUCCUGGGCUGCACGCGCGCUACACUGAUGUGUCCAGUAAGCACCUAACCUCUUCCGAAAGGAACGGGUAACCUUUGCAAAGCACAUCGUGAUGGGGAUAGAUUAUUGCAAUUAUUAGUCUUGAACGAGGAAUUCCUAGUAGGCACAAGUCAUCAGCUUGUGUUGAUUACGUCCCUGCCCUUUGUACACACCGCCCGUCGCUCCUACCGAUUGAAUGUUCCGGUGAGCUCUUCGGACUGCGCGGUCUGCAGUUUCUGCGUUCCGUGCGGAAAGUUGCGCAAACCUUAACAUUUAGAGGAAGGAGAAGUCGUAACA